This is a long non-coding RNA of Lutra lutra (Eurasian river otter), 339 nucleotides long. RefSeq lists it as uncharacterized. Lineage: Eukaryota; Metazoa; Chordata; Mammalia; Carnivora; Mustelidae. The transcript is spliced from 3 exons. The record is from RefSeq and is a predicted model, not a curated record.
UUUGAGAAAAUAGAGGCAGAAAGAGGGCGCGUGACCCACCACUUGUCUGGGUCGAGACAGGAGCGGGUGCCAGCCCAGGAGGGAAGGCGUGACACUACGCCUGGUAAUGGGCAUUCGGGCUAGGAUGCCACACUGUCCCUGACCUCCCAGUUCCCAGUGGGAGACAUCUGCAAGGCUUUGUGUUCUCAAAGAAGAGGAGCUUAGGACACAGGCACCCACACGGGAAAGACCAUGUGAAGUCACAGGGAGAAGACGACCAUCUCUAAACCAAGGAGAGAGGCGUCUGAAGAAGCCCAGCCCCUGACCCCUUGAUCUCAAGACCCACAGUCUCCUGAAUGG